RNAcentral lists this small RNA (113 nucleotides) under Pseudorhizobium pelagicum. RNAcentral describes it as "Alphaproteobacterial ar15". It matches the Rfam family "Alphaproteobacterial ar15". Lineage: Bacteria; Pseudomonadati; Pseudomonadota; Alphaproteobacteria; Hyphomicrobiales; Rhizobiaceae. The record is from Rfam by way of RNAcentral.
AGUUGAUGCACACGGUGGCUUUCCUCCCAGUUCCACCGCAUCAGCUGUUCCCCUCUGGAGGUUUUUGACCUUCAUACCUAUAGGGCCCCGAAGCAAUUCGGUGGCCCUUUUUU